This 512-nucleotide ribosomal RNA is filed under the name uncultured bacterium. Its description in RNAcentral is "partial 16S ribosomal RNA". It matches the Rfam family "Bacterial small subunit ribosomal RNA", at positions 28 to 507 of the family's 1533-position model. The record is from RNAcentral.
GAUGAACGCUGGCGGCGUGCCUAAUACAUGCGAGUCGAACGAAACUUCUUUAUCACCGAGUGCUUGCACUCACCGAUAAAGAGUUGAGUGGCGAACGGGUGAGUAACACGUGGGCAGCCUGCCCAAAAGAGGGGGAUAACACUUGGAAACAGGUGCUAAUACCGCAUAACCAUAGUUACCGCAUGGUAACUAUGUAAAAGGUGGCUAUACUACCGCUUCUGGAUGGGCCCGCGGCGCAUUAGCUAGUUGGUAGGGUAAAGGCUUACCAAGGCAAUGAUGCGUAGCCGAAUUGAGAGGUUGAUCGGCCACAUUGGGACUGAGACACGGCCCAAACUCCUACGGGAGGCAGCAGUAGGGAAUCUUCCACAAUGGGCGAAAGCCUGAUGGAGCAACGCCGCGUGGGUGAAGAAGGUCUUCGGAUCGUAAAACCCUGUUGUUAGAGAAGAAAGUGCGUGAGAGUAACUGUUCACGUUUCGACGGUAUCUAACCAGAAAGCCACGGCUAACUACGUG